RNAcentral lists this ribosomal RNA (357 nucleotides) under uncultured soil bacterium. Its description in RNAcentral is "bacterial SSU rRNA". It matches the Rfam family "Bacterial small subunit ribosomal RNA", at positions 26 to 378 of the family's 1533-position model. The record is from RNAcentral.
AGGACGAACGCUGGCGGUGUGCUUAACACAUGCAAGUCGAGCGAGAAGCCAGGGGCUUGCCCUUGGUGGACAGCGGCGAACGGGUGAGUAACACGUGGGCAACCUGCCCCAGACACUGGGAUAACUCCGGGAAACCGGGGCUAAUACCGGAUACUCCGAUCGGAUCACAUGUUCUGAUCGGGAAAGCUCCGACGGUCUGGGAUGGGCCCGCGGUCUAUCAGCUUGUUGGUGGGGUAAUGGCCCACCAAGGCGUCGACGGAUAGCUGGCGUGAGAGCGUGGCCAGCCACACUGGGACUGAGACACGGCCCAGACUCCUACGGAGGCAGCAGUGGGGGAAGUACUUGCGCAAAUAGAGA